CCUACGGGAGGCAGCAGUGGGGAAUAUUGCGCAAUGGGCGAAAGCCUGACGCAGCGACGCAGCGUGAGGGAUGAAGGUCUUCGGAUCGGUAACCUCUGUCAACAGGGAAGUACGGUCACUGUGCUAAUCAGCAGUGAAUUGACGGUACCUGCAAAGGAAGCACCGGCUAACUCCGGGCACGCAGCCGCGGUAAUACGGAGGGUGCGAGAGUUAAUCGGAUUUACUGGGCGUAAAGCGUUCGUAGACGGGAUGUCAAGUCAAGGGUGAAAUCCCCGCGCUCAACCUGGGAAUUGCCUUUGAUACUGGCAAACUGGAGUGUGUGUGAGGAUAGUGGAAUUCCUGGUGUAGGAGUGAAAUCCGUAGAUAUCUGGAGGAACAUCAGUGGCGAAGGCGACUAUCUGGCACAUAACUGACGCUGAGGAGCGAAAGCGUGGGUAGCAAACAGGAUUAGAUACCCCGGUAGUC
Molecule: ribosomal RNA, 465 nt
Filed under: uncultured bacterium
Lineage: Bacteria
Description: partial 16S ribosomal RNA
Rfam family: Bacterial small subunit ribosomal RNA
Source: RNAcentral